This 264-nucleotide ribosomal RNA is filed under the name uncultured bacterium. RNAcentral's name for it is "partial 16S ribosomal RNA". It matches the Rfam family "Bacterial small subunit ribosomal RNA", at positions 524 to 788 of the family's 1533-position model. The record is from RNAcentral.
UACGAAGGGGGCUAGCGUUGCUCGGAAUGACUGGGCGUAAAGGGCGCGUAGGCGGAUUUUUAAGUGAGAUGUGAAAUACCCGGGCUCAACUUGGGUGCUGCAUUUCAAACUGGAAGUCUAGAGUGCAGGAGAGGAGAGUGGAAUUCCUAGUGUAGCGGUGAAAUGCGUAGAGAUUAGGAAGAACACCAGUGGCGAAGGCGGCGACCUGUCCGAGUACUGACGCUGAGGCGCGAAAGCGUGGGAGCAACAGGGAUUAAGAAACCC